AAUUUUGGACAAUGGGGGAAACCCUGAUCCAGCCAUCCCGCGUGUGCGAUGAAGGCCUUCGGGUUGUAAAGCACUUUUGUCUCGGAAGAAAAGGUUCUGGCAAAUACACGUAACUAAUGCCCGUACUAGCAGAGUAAGCACCGGCUAAUUACGUGCCAGCCGCCGCGGUAAUACGGAGGGUGCGAGCGUGAAUCGGACUUACUGGGCGUAAAGCGUGUGUAGGCGGUUCGGAAAGAAAGAUGUGAAAUCCCAGGGCUCAACCUAGGAACUGCAUUUUUAACUGCCGAGCUAGAGGAUGUCAGAGGGGGGGAGAAUUCCACGUGUAGCAGUGAAAUGCGUAGAUAUGUGGAGGAAUACCGAUGGCGAAGGCGGCCCCCUGGGAUAAUGCUGACGCUCAGACGCGAAAGCGUGGGGAGCAAACAGG
Molecule: ribosomal RNA, 424 nt
Filed under: uncultured bacterium
Lineage: Bacteria
Description: partial 16S ribosomal RNA
Rfam family: Bacterial small subunit ribosomal RNA
Source: RNAcentral